This 246-nucleotide long non-coding RNA is filed under the name Amborella trichopoda. RNAcentral's name for it is "long non-coding RNA (ATRI_LNC002487)". Lineage: Eukaryota; Viridiplantae; Streptophyta; Magnoliopsida; Amborellales; Amborellaceae. The record is from RNAcentral.
AGGGGCAAAACCCCAUUUCCUUCACUUUUCAACGAAGAUAAACAAACUUAAACUAAAAAAAAUGUAACAGUGAGUAGAGGAUUUUCGGGUGAAAGCUCCAGCAGGUAGAGGGAUUCCAACAAGAGAUCAAGUGGUCCAGCAAGCCUUACAAGGAAGGUUUCGCCAAGAUUGUAUAAAGGGAUAGUCGGAAAAGAAAGAGUUGCAGGAGUUUCACUAUUAGCACAAGAGGCUUUCCGGGAAGUAGGA